This 1218-nucleotide long non-coding RNA is filed under the name Hordeum vulgare. RNAcentral's name for it is "long non-coding RNA (HVUL_LNC000649)". Lineage: Eukaryota; Viridiplantae; Streptophyta; Magnoliopsida; Poales; Poaceae. The record is from RNAcentral.
UUUCAUUCAAUCUCGUUUUACUCUAACACGUUAUCAGCACGCUCUCUGCGAGCAAUUCAAUAGUCGCAUGCAACCAUCGCGUGGCCAUUGUUCCAGAUAUCAUUGACCACACAUGGCCAUUGCGGUGUGAUGAAAACCGGCCACCGGCGAAUCCUUAAACGAAACGCCGUAGCGGCCGCGCAAUGAGGGCAUGUGUCUCUCGAGAUUUCCACAGGAAAAGGAGGCCACGAACCAGCAUGAAAUGCCUCCAAAGUGCCAUUGGCAAGGACAUGCAUGUCCCAUCGAGGAAGAAAUCGAUUAGGAACACUAAAUUGAUUUGGGUUUUUUGUCUUUUCUAGAGGAACUCACAAUCAGCCAUAAACGAUUCACCGUUGUUUUGCUUUUCAUGGCAGCGUACGCGACCAAGGCACUUUGCAGUCAACGUACGCGCAGGCGCUACUACUUCAGGCGUAUGCGCAGCGGCGUUCGAUCGCUGGCCUCGGCCCUUGGCACCGGCCGCCUCACAAUGUCUGGCUUCGGCAAGACGCGGCUACGACAAAGACGAUCAUCCAUAUGUGCAUGCAUCCGUUGAAGAAAUCGAUUAGGAGAAAGAGCAAUUUUCUUUUGCGUCACCGGAAGACACGAAGUGCAUCACCGGCCUUCCACAACAACGGAAACUUGGACAUUCUGAUGAGCGGCAGCCGACGGGAUGCUGCGCUUCGUAAAGUCAAGAUAAUCCCGCCGACGACCUUCGACACGCCCUUAGCGGCAUACAUCACCAAUUGAAAUUGGAGAACAAACGUUGUGGCAUUUUUCUCAGAAAGACGAUGAGGACGAGUGCAAAACUCCCAGAUUAUACACCAUUACUGUGAGGUCUACAUCUUAUCACUAACAAGAUGACUACCUUCAAAAUGCUCUUCCAAAUUUAAUAUGUGACUACCUCAAGAUAUCAUAAGGUAAUACUCGCAUCUACUGCAAAAAAUAUAUAUAUAAUUGCAGACUAUGCAUUAUUACUGCAAGGUCUACAUCAUGUUAGUCUGACAGAUGGUUACCUUUGAAGUGAUUUUCUAAAAUAUAGCAUAACAUAAGGUAAUAGAAUUAUGAACAUCUACUGACAAAAGUCAGACUAUGUUUUCUAUUACUGCGAGAUCUACACCAUAUUGGUGAUUAUCUUCAAAGUGGUAUCCUAUAUAAAUUGAGGUCUACACAUAUGGCUAUAAGGCAUCAGCCGUACUAAAA